ACGGAAGGCAGCAGUGGGGAAUAUUGGACAAUGGGGGAAACCCUGAUCCAGCGACGCCGCGUGAGUGAAGAAGUAUUUCGGUAUGUAAAGCUCUAUCAGCAAGGAAGAAAAUGACGGUACUUGACUAAGAAGCCCCGGCUAACUACGUGCCAGCAGCCGCGGUAAUACGUAGGGGGCAAGCGUUAUCCGGAUUUACUGGGUGUAAAGGGAGCGUAGACGGCAUAGCAAGUCUGAAGUGAAAUGCAUGGGCUCAACCCAUGAACUGCUUUGGAAACUGUUAAGCUAGAGUGCAGGAGAGGUAAGUGGAAUUCCUAGUGUAGCGGUGAAAUGCGUAGAUAUUAGGAGGAACACCAGUGGCGAAGGCGGCUUACUGGACAGCAACUGACGUUGAGGCUCGAAAGCGUGGGGAGCAAACAGGAUUAGAUACCCUGGUA
This 434-nucleotide ribosomal RNA is filed under the name uncultured Lachnospiraceae bacterium. Its description in RNAcentral is "bacterial SSU rRNA". It matches the Rfam family "Bacterial small subunit ribosomal RNA", at positions 341 to 792 of the family's 1533-position model. Lineage: Bacteria; Bacillati; Bacillota; Clostridia; Lachnospirales; Lachnospiraceae. The record is from RNAcentral.